Molecule: ribosomal RNA, 520 nt
Filed under: uncultured Glomus
Lineage: Eukaryota; Fungi; Glomeromycota; Glomeromycetes; Glomerales; Glomeraceae
Description: SSU rRNA
Rfam family: Eukaryotic small subunit ribosomal RNA
Source: RNAcentral
AGCAGCCGCGGUAAUUCCAGCUCCAAUAGCGUAUAUUAAAGUUGUUGCAGUUAAAAAGCUCGUAGUUGAAUUUCGGGAUCAAGUCGUCGGUCGUGCCUCGGUACGCACUGGUGACAUUGGUUUCUCCCUUCUGAAGAACCUUGAUGUCAUUAAUUUGGUGUCUUGGGGAAUCAGGACUGUUACUUUGAAAAAAUUAGAGUGUUUAAAGCAGGCUCACGCUUGAAUACAUUAGCAUGGAAUAAUGAAAUAGGACGUUUGAUUCUAUUUUGUUGGUUUCUAGGAUCGACGUAAUGAUUAAUAGGGAUAGUUGGGGGCAUUAGUAUUCAAUUGUCAGAGGUGAAAUUCUUGGAUUUAUUGAAGACUAACUACUGCGAAAGCAUUUGCUAAGGAUGUUUUCAUUAAUCAAGAACGAAAGUUAGGGGAUCGAAGACGAUCAGAUACCGUCGUAGUCUUAACCAUAAACUAUGCCGACUAGGGAUCGGAUGAUGUUAAUUUUUAAUGACUCAUUCGGCGUCUUAAC